Molecule: long non-coding RNA, 608 nt
Filed under: Carassius auratus (goldfish)
Lineage: Eukaryota; Metazoa; Chordata; Actinopteri; Cypriniformes; Cyprinidae
Description: lncRNA (ENSCARG00000003409.1)
Source: RNAcentral
CUCUAAUAAAAGCACUCACACUGGUACGACCAAUUUCUUGCAAGAGUGACUGGGGACAUUAACAUUCGUUAUAAAUAUAUAAACAGAACUAUGUUUUUGGUUUGUUACUCAUUUUUGAUUAGGUUCUUAUUCCCCACUUUAUUGUCCCUUAAUCACUUUUCCCUCCUGAGCUGUAGAUUAUUACGCAAAGUGUGAUUUUGGCAGUGAUUUGCCAGCAUCCUGCGAUUGGACCUCUGAGGGACCCAUCAGCACUCAGACGGCAACAGAGGAAACUUCUUUCCAUCCUGAGAAUCCAUCUGGUGCAUUUCGUCUCAAGAGUGGAUUUCUUAAGAUCUCGGAAGACUCCUGUUUGGAGUUCUGGUACCAUAGACCUAACAGGAAGAGUUCUGAACUCAGAGUUUUGCUAGUGGAUGACAUUCAGCAGACACUGAUUUGGACGUCAGAGACGUCUAGCAGUGGAGACUGGAGACAAGUCUUCAUCCCACUGACGAAGCAAUCUGACAGCGACAACUUACAGGUACAGUACAGCAAUUUAAAUAUUCAUAUUUAGGUUUUGGGCAUCUUUAUGGUGAGAGAUAGCAGAAAAUCUUAUUUUCUUACUAGUUAUU